RNAcentral lists this long non-coding RNA (2969 nucleotides) under Homo sapiens (human). Its description in RNAcentral is "novel transcript". The record is from RNAcentral. Lineage: Eukaryota; Metazoa; Chordata; Mammalia; Primates; Hominidae.
GCCUGGAGGAGGCGCUUUGAGAGUCGAGGUCUCCCGCCCGCGCGCCUCCCUGGCGCAGACCUCUUUUAACUUUUUGGCGUGGAGUGCGCGUCCUGACGUGCCCCCUGAGCUACAGCUUACUGAGCUUUACUGGCUUCGCCGGACAGCCGUCCCCAGGUGGAGAGACAGCGCGUCGCGCGCUGCCCGGGCCCCGCAGGGCCUGGCGCCUGGGGCCCUUGCGCCGCUUUGGGGCGAGGGGAUCACACCGCGGGCUCCCGGAGCUUAGCGUCUUCCACGCGGCGCUGUGUGUCAUCCACGCAGUGUGCUCUCGCUGCCGUGUUCAGGUCACUGCGAGGGUGAGCCCCGCUUUAUCUACCCCUUCUGCUGUUGAUGGGCACUCGUCUGGGGCUAGAAGGGAUAAGGUUGCUGUGAGCGUUCUCGUGUGUUUUUGGUGCACGCGCACACACAUUUCUCUGGGGUGCAGACCUGUCUAGUAGUGGAACUGCCGUUUCCCAGCACUUUGGAGCAAAGCCCUGUUGCAGUCUGAAGCGGAAAAGGCAGACGGGCCUUCCAUGUUCGUGAUUCCAGCCAGGCACAGAAGGGAAGGACAGGGACAGCAGCCGCGCGGAGGCGAGGAGGGACACUGGGCGCUGCUGUCCCCUCUCAGGGGCAGCCACUCCUCUUGUGGACGCAGGUGUGGUCACCAGAAGGGAAGGACAGCAGAGGACUCUUCAGGGACCUUCCUGGAUCCCCCUGCAAUGGGAGUGGCCUACUUGCUUGACUUGAGGGUGAGACUUGGUCAGCCCUUGACUGUAGGGGGCAGGACCAUGGGCUUCAGUGGGGCAGCACCCAUGACCCACGCCUCUGCUUCCAUUCCCUGCUUACUGCCCGGGCCUCUGGGCAGGGGAGUCUAGUCUCCCUUCCCAGGCUUCCAAUGCCUCGCCCCCUGCUGUGGUAAGGAUUCGCGCUGGUCCCUAUUUAUUAAUCAGGGAACUUGGGGUUCCAGUUUUCUCCCCUUCUCUGCAUCUCAUCCCCUUGAGAGCCCCCUGGAGCAGAGGAUAACGCACGAGGGGACUGGCUGUGUAUAUUUUGAUAACAAUAUCAAAAUACUGUCAAAUACUAAACGGAAAAGAAAUAGGAAAACAUUGAACUUUAUUAAAAUGAACUUCAAAAGACACCAUUAAGAGUAAAAAGAUGACUCACAAAAAAGUUGCCUUUUGUUCAGUAAACGACUCAGGACCAGAAAAUAUGAAGACCCCUACAACAAGAAAAAUAUAGAUAGCUCAGUUAAAAAUUGACAAAAGACUUGAAAAGAUAUUUCACAAAAGGAGAGAUCCAGACAGUCAAUCCACACACGAAAGGGUACUUAGCAUCAGGGAACUGCAAAUAGUGACAUUCGAUUCCAUAUCACAGCCACUGGAUGGCUAAAAUAGCAACGCCAAGUGCUGAUGAGACUGUGGAACAACCAGCUGGGCUCUCAUACCCUGCUGAUGGGAGAGUGGAUUGGAGCAACCACGUGGAAACAUCUAAUGGAGGUAAGCAAACGCCUGCCAUAGGAACCAGCGUGUAUAUCCAAGGGAACCGAGUGCUAGGUUCCUGAUCAUGGUCAAGAUCGCCUACAGCAAAUUUACUUAUUUAUUUUAAUCCCCCAACAAAUGUCUUUAAUGUCUUUAGAAAGAUUAAUUAAAUGGUAGUAUUUUAAGAAUGCAAUGGUAUACUGCACAGCAACAAAAAAAUAACAAACUGCUAAUACUUGCAGCAACAUGGAUAAAUCUCAAAGUAUUGAAUGCAAAGCUACAAUAGAGUGCAUAACUAAGGAUUCCAUUAUAUAAAAUACAAAAUCCAGGCAAGACUGAUCUACAGUGUUAGAGGUCAGGAGAGAAUUUUGGAGGUAGUUGCUUGGGCACCGGGAUACUGCGUGGGGAGCUGUGAGUGCUGCAUAUCUUUAGCUGCGUCCUGCUUGGAGUGCAUACUCUGUGAAAAUUCAUCAACCUGUGCACUUAAGACUUGUGUACUUACAUUAUCUUUCAGGAAAAAGAAAAGAAAAGUAUGCCAAACUUUACCCUUCACCUUUCUUCUCAAAAUGGUCAGGUUUCAGAGCUGUGGUAGAAACUUCUAGUACUGACAACAGCCAGUACCUCCCCGCUUGGCAGCUGAGACUAUGGGACCAGUUCUGGCCAAUGGAAUGUGAGGGGAAAUGACGGAUGUCAAUUCCAGGCUGAAGCUUUUAGUUGCCAGAGCCAGGUCCUCCAGUCCUACCUUUCCACUGUGGCAGUCCCUCUGAAGUCCCAAGAUCAAGAGCUGACAGCUGAAUCCUUGCAUGGAGAGUCGCCUGGACCUGCAGUGGACUCUGGAUGAGGGAGUAUACACCCCUCUCCUGAGAUGGCAAACAGGAGGUCUGGAUCAAUCCUACAGUGUCGGCAAAUGUCUGGAUUACCCUGCAAGGAAAGGGAGGCAUGACAGCUCCACAUCUGUGUUCACCCUUGUGGAUCCCAGGUGAGACUCCAGAUGAAAUGGGAGAGUUCUCUGACCCCCUCACAGGACAUGUGACAGGAGUGUGGCUAGUCUGUUCAGCCUCCACCACUGCUGAAACACCUUAUGGGAGGGGGAGCAUGCAGAUGGGCAAGCGCAGGUGCCAGGGCCAGCGCUUUUGGGCUUCAACCCCAUGGUGGCAUCUAGGGGUGUGUGUCUGUGACUCCUGAAGCCCCAGUGUGUGUGCUCCAGUGCUCUUUUAGCUCUGCUGUCUGUCAGGCCUCUGAGCCCAAGCUAAGCCAUCAGAUCCCCUGUGACCUGCACGUAUACAUCCAGACGGCCUGAAGCAACUGAAGAACCACAAAAGAAGUGAAAAUAGCCAGUUCCUGCCUUAACUGAUGACAAUCCACCAUUGUGAUUUGUUCCUGCCCCACCCUAACUGAUCAAUUGGCCUUGUGACAUUCCUUCUCCUGGGCAACGAGUCUCAUGAUCUCCCCACCCUGCACCUUGUGAGCCCC